This 1819-nucleotide long non-coding RNA is filed under the name Pongo abelii (Sumatran orangutan). RNAcentral's name for it is "lincRNA". Lineage: Eukaryota; Metazoa; Chordata; Mammalia; Primates; Hominidae. The record is from RNAcentral.
AGUGAUUACCAAAGACUGGGGAGAGGGAGGCGGAUGGAAGAAUGGAGAAAGAUUGGUCAACAGACUCUGACUGUGAUUUUUCUCACUAGUGACAAAAGGAAUAACCUCUAGUGAGAAUGAAAUGAUGAAGGGUCUUUGAAAUUCUCUACUCUCUGAACACAGUGAAUGUGAAUGAAAGAUCUCAGGAAGAGUUUUCAAAAAGCUUAUUGCUCAAUCACCAGCCUUUGCGAGGAGUUGUGGAUUGACUGCUGUCUGCAAUAAGGUCACCAGAAACUGCCAUAGCUCUCGAGGCAAGCACAUGCUGAUAAUGACAAGCUGCUGAGACUCAAAGCUAUGUUUUAGCCCCAAUCCCAGCACAGACUCACCAUGAAGCUCUUUGAUUUCCAGACGGAACUUUCAUGAGGACACACCACACUUAACUAAACCCUUGACCUAACAGACCUAUACUGAAGAUGAAACCCCAAAGGUAGCCAAGGGAUUUGGUAUUUUAGUCAUGUUCUUUCAUGCCUUAGUACCUUUAAGGUAAGCUCACACAGAGGUGGUCAUGAAAUGGUUAAAUAGCAAAAUCCCUGACUUCUGUAGUCAGUGAGAAACAUCCAAGAGAGAGUGUGAUAGGGUCAAAAGCCUCUUUGCAAAAAGGAAAACAUUUCAAGUCACAGAUUCAUUCUUUUAUUUCUACUCAUUCAUUCAUUUUCUUCAAUAAACAUUUAGGAAGCUCCUACUGUUUGCCAAUAACUCAAAAGAUCUCUGGAGAAAGAGAUGAAUUCAAUGUGGCCUUUUGACUAGGGACAAUUGCCCACCACGCUUCUGAUAACAGACAAGCCCUUCCUCAGCACCACAGGGUUAGCCAACCACAGUAUUCCAUCCCCCUGGCCUCAGUCAGAACCUUUCCUCCAGAAAUUUUCCUCUGGAACUAUCAGGAAGGACUUCCAGUUACCCCUGGGGAUGCCAUUUUGGAAACCUAGUACUAUCAUGGCCAAAUUAUCUAUCUUGGAGGAACAGCACCUACAGGAGUGAAGCCACCACACAGAUGGAAACAAAGGAGGAAGGAAGGGAAAGCGAGAGGAAAAAGGAGGAGGAAGAAGAAAAAGAGAAGGGGAAGGGAAAGGAAGGUAAGAAGGAUACCACUCGGCAUUGUUUGCCUGGAUCCAGUCCUGCCACAAGCCAAUACCACCACCACCCUUUUUUUUUUAAAUCAAUUUUAUGACCCUGAGGCAAUAAUUCUUGCCCUCCUCCCAUGCAUACUUUUCACUACACUGCUCUUAACUAGCUGAAACUGAGAACAUUUAGAUAAUAAUCAGAGAAUUUGAGGUCAAUUUAGUAGCACAGCAACCACAUACAUAAAUAAUUGCAAAAAAAAAAGUGAUGAAGCAUAAAUACAAUACACUGUCAUGGUACAAAAAAGAAAGAUCAACUCAGCUUAGACAGUUUAUAGUUCAUCAGCCAGAGGUUGGCUUAUCUUUUUUUUAAGGGACGUAGCCUAUAACUACAUCACAGAAAAAACAACAUGUAGGUGUCCUCUUACUCAAGAAAGGCCUUGUGACACUGGAGAUAAGUUUGGAAGAAUAUGGAUCUGUCAACCUGAGGAAUUGGGAAAGAUGCAAAUAUGGAUCUGUUGACCUGAGGAAUUGGGAAAGAUGCAAAUAGAUAAAAACAGAACUAUGGUCCAACAGAUGUGGUAUAUUUGGUAUGGUAGAUUAGAUCCAUCCACAAAUUCUUUGCUGCCCCUCCUAGUAAGAGGCAUGGCCUAAUUCCUCUCCCCUUGAAAAUACACUGACAUUUAGUGACAUUUUAUUAAAUCUAUACCCUUUUGUACCCA